Molecule: ribosomal RNA, 1480 nt
Filed under: uncultured organism
Description: 16S ribosomal RNA
Rfam family: Bacterial small subunit ribosomal RNA
Source: RNAcentral
GCGGCGUGCCUAAUACAUGCAAGUCGAGCGAGCGGAACUAACAGAUUUACUUCGGUAAUGACGUUAGGAAAGCGAGCGGCGGAUGGGUGAGUAACACGUGGGGAACCUGCCCCAUAGUCUGGGAUACCACUUGGAAACAGGUGCUAAUACCGGAUAAGAAAGCAGAUCGCAUGAUCAGCUUUUAAAAGGCGGCGUAAGCUGUCGCUAUGGGAUGGCCCCGCGGUGCAUUAGCUAGUUGGUAAGGUAAAGGCUUACCAAGGCGAUGAUGCAUAGCCGAGUUGAGAGACUGAUCGGCCACAUUGGGACUGAGACACGGCCCAAACUCCUACGGGAGGCAGCAGUAGGGAAUCUUCCACAAUGGACGCAAGUCUGAUGGAGCAACGCCGCGUGAGUGAAGAAGGUUUUCGGAUCGUAAAGCUCUGUUGUUGGUGAAGAAGGAUAGAGGUAGUAACUGGCCUUUAUUUGACGGUAAUCAACCAGAAAGUCACGGCUAACUACGUGCCAGCAGCCGCGGUAAUACGUAGGUGGCAAGCGUUGUCCGGAUUUAUUGGGCGUAAAGCGAGCGCAGGCGGAAGAAUAAGUCUGGUGUGAAAGCCCUCGGCUUAACCGAGGAACUGCAUCGGAAACUGUUUUUCUUGAGUGCAGAAGAGGAGAGUGGAACUCCAUGUGUAGCGGUGGAAUGCGUAGAUAUAUGGAAGAACACCAGUGGCGAAGGCGGCUCUCUGGUCUGCAACUGACGCUGAGGCUCGAAAGCAUGGGUAGCGAACAGGAUUAGAUACCCUGGUAGUCCAUGCCGUAAACGAUGAGUGCUAAGUGUUGGGAGGUUUCCGCCUCUCAGUGCUGCAGCUAACGCAUUAAGCACUCCGCCUGGGGAGUACGACCGCAAGGUUGAAACUCAAAGGAAUUGACGGGGGCCCGCACAAGCGGUGGAGCAUGUGGUUUAAUUCGAAGCAACGCGAAGAACCUUACCAGGUCUUGACAUCUAGUGUCAUUUGUAGAGAUACAAAGUUCCCUUCGGGGACGCUAAGACAGGUGGUGCAUGGCUGUCGUCAGCUCGUGUCGUGAGAUGUUGGGUUAAGUCCCGCAACGAGCGCAACCCUUGUUAUUAGUUGCCAGCAUUAAGUUGGGCACUCUAAUGAGACUGCCGGUGACAAACCGGAGGAAGGUGGGGAUGACGUCAAGUCAUCAUGCCCCUUAUGACCUGGGCUACACACGUGCUACAAUGGGCAGUACAACGAGAAGCGAGCCUGCGAAGGCAAGCGAAUCUCUGAAAGCUGUUCUCAGUUCGGACUGCAGUCUGCAACUCGACUGCACGAAGCUGGAAUCGCUAGUAAUCGCGGAUCAGCACGCCGCGGUGAAUACGUUCCCGGGCCUUGUACACACCGCCCGUCACACCAUGGGAGUCUGCAAUGCCCAAAGCCGGUGGCCUAACCUUCGGGAAGGAGCCGUCUAAGGCAGGGCAGAUGACUGGGGUGAAGUC